UACGUAGGGUGCAAGCGUUAUCCGGAAUUACUGGGCGUAAAGCGUGUGUAGGUGGUUUGUUAAGUUAAAUGUUAAAUCUUCAGGCUCAACUUGAAGGCUGCAUUUAAUACUGGCAGACUUGAGGACGGUAGAGGUGAGUAGAAUUAGUGGUGUAGCGGUAAUAUGCGUAGAUAUCGCUAGGAAUACCAAUGGCGAAGGCAGCUUACUGGUCCGUACCUGACACUGAGACACGAAAGCGUGGGGAGCGAACGGG
RNAcentral lists this ribosomal RNA (253 nucleotides) under uncultured bacterium. RNAcentral's name for it is "partial 16S ribosomal RNA". It matches the Rfam family "Bacterial small subunit ribosomal RNA", at positions 524 to 776 of the family's 1533-position model. The record is from RNAcentral.